GUUGUAUGGUUAAGUGACUAAGCGUACACGGUGGAUGCCUGGGCAGUCAGAGGCGAUGAAGGACGUACUAACUUGCGAUAAGCGCAGAUAAGGCAGUAAGAGCCGUUUGAGUCUGCGAUUUCCGAAUGGGGAAACCCAACUGCAUAAGCAGUUACUGUUAACUGAAUACAUAGGUUAACAGA
Molecule: ribosomal RNA, 182 nt
Filed under: Escherichia coli
Lineage: Bacteria; Pseudomonadati; Pseudomonadota; Gammaproteobacteria; Enterobacterales; Enterobacteriaceae
Description: partial 23S ribosomal RNA
Rfam family: Bacterial large subunit ribosomal RNA
Source: RNAcentral